UUAUGGUGGGCUGGGCGGGGGCUUCUUCGGAAGCGCCGGUUUCCGAUAACGCCGGUUACGCCAACCCUGUCCAGUCCAUCACCA
This 84-nucleotide non-coding RNA is filed under the name Atlantibacter hermannii. Lineage: Bacteria; Pseudomonadati; Pseudomonadota; Gammaproteobacteria; Enterobacterales; Enterobacteriaceae. RNAcentral also lists the same sequence under 1 other name. The record is from RNAcentral.